Molecule: ribosomal RNA, 320 nt
Filed under: uncultured Clostridiaceae bacterium
Lineage: Bacteria; Bacillati; Bacillota; Clostridia; Eubacteriales; Clostridiaceae
Description: partial 16S ribosomal RNA
Source: RNAcentral
GGAGUUUGGACCGUGUCUCAGUUCCAAUGUGGCCGAUUACCCUCUCAGGUCGGCUACUGAUCGCUGCCUUGGUGGGCCGUUACCUCACCAACUAGCUAAUCAGACGCAGGUCCAUCCCUCACCGAUAAAUCUUUGGCGAUAAAGCCAUGUGACUCCAUCGCAUUAUCAGGUAUUAAUCCCAGUUUCCCGAGGCUAUACCUGAGUAAUGGGCAGGUUGGAUACGCGUUACUCACCCGUGCGCCGGUCGCCAUCGACAAUAGCAAGCUAUCGUCAUGCUGCCCCUCGACUUGCAUGUGUUAAGCCUGUAGCUAGCGUUCAUC